AUGGGAAAAGAAAAAAUGUUUGGGGAUUCUUCUUUUUUUUUCUGUCUUCAGGUAAUUUUGGAAAAGCAGCUUAUGCUGAAGAAGGGCAGGUUGGUUUUAUUUCAGACACACACAACCUGCUGUGCCACUUCUCACAGCUCUCUCCUUUUUAAUACCCACUGUGUAACAGGAUCAAUGUCCUUUGCACGGCGCAGUGCUCUUCACACAGCUGAGAUUUCCAGGGGUGGUUACAGCAAAGGAUGUUUCGAUUUCUGGCACAUCAAGCCUGAUGCUCAGGAAGAGCCAAAACAUGAAACUCCCCAAGACCUUUCAAUCAAUGUUGGUAACGUUUUGAGGAUGGAGUUCUGUUUUAAUUGUGUCCCUGUGACAUCUCACUUUUCCAGUUAUUGGAGUCAGCACGUUCUCACCAACUUUGGCUGGGGUUUCCAUCACGCAUCUGCUUCAUUUUCUACCAGGGCCAGCUACUUUCUGGUGGCCAUAAAGCCAAAGAGAUGCUCCAAGCCCUCAACCCUAGGAUCUGAGCAGGCUGUAGACAUCUGCCUCAGCUGGAUUUUGCACUGUAGGUCAGACUCAGAUGUCAGAGGGUCCCGAGUGGGAUGCUAUUAUCUGAAAACUUCCUUCUCUGUAGGGCUGCUUUGUUUUGUUUUUUUUUUUUCUGGAUAUCUGGGAAAGCUGUGCUGUUGUAGGGAGUGGGUGCUGGGUCAGGUUCCUGCAGCAUGGCCUGAGGAAGGCUGUGCAGAUGCUGAACUAGAAAUGCUGGUUCUGCAGAUGCUGACCCCUCCCUGGGAUAAGGAUCUACCUACUGGGCCUUCGGAGCCAUAUUUAUAUUUAAUAGGAGGAAGGAUUGAAGGUAACCUUUCGUGGUUGGAAAUUUCCCCCCAGAACAGCCUCCCACCACCUCCUCCACCUCAGAUCUGGGCUUUUGACCCAACCCUGUGUCUGGAGGCUUCCCAUGCUGUGACCACUCCACAUCCCAGCAGAACUGGUGCAAGAGAGGGACCAGAAUUUUUCUGGUUGAAAGCAAGGUUGGUGGCUCAACCUCACCUCAGAAUGUCUCACUGCCUCCAUGCAGUCUCCAGAGGGACAGGAACAUUUUGGAGGUACCUACAGUUGUAA
This 1116-nucleotide long non-coding RNA is filed under the name Chrysolophus pictus (golden pheasant). RNAcentral's name for it is "lncRNA (ENSCPIG00010001884.1)". The record is from RNAcentral. Lineage: Eukaryota; Metazoa; Chordata; Aves; Galliformes; Phasianidae.